Long non-coding RNA from Conger conger (European conger), 1176 nucleotides. RefSeq lists it as uncharacterized. The transcript has 3 exons. The record is from RefSeq and is a predicted model, not a curated record. NCBI's taxonomy places the organism in Eukaryota, Metazoa, Chordata, Actinopteri, Anguilliformes, Congridae.
UGUCCUUGGAAUGAUGUUGUUGACCUCAGGGUCCCGCACAGAGCUCGUCCAGCAGUGUUCUGGGGUGACCAGUCGCCUGUCAGAUGCUGCGUUCAGAUAGGAGACGUGAUGUUGCCCUGCCAAGCUCAGCUCCGGGAGACGGGGGGCACAAUGGGACCUCUGUGUAGCGCUCCAGGGAACCAUUUGCUAGACAGUAAGAAGACUUUUGGAACAGUUUGAACAAGCUGCUGACUUGACCUGAAGCGACAUCCCCUCCACAUCCAGUCAACGAACCCGUCUCUGCUUCCUCUGGCCAAUCCUUCCAGGUCAAGUGCACUCUCAGCCCAAAAAGGUCAUCAGGCGACAUUCUUGCGAGACGGAAUUCCCCAGCCAGCCGGAGAGAGCAGGAGUGUCACAUGCCAACACACAUGUACCGGGGGGCCACGUCAGAGCUGGAGCGUGCGUGAGAAAGCGUCAGAGUUCCCCCUUUUUCCCCCUCUGAAGGCUGCACCCGCGACUCCGAUCCGAUGAUGUCAAGGCCCUUUCAGAAACGAAGUGACGGGGAGGUACAUUUUCCCGUUCUUCAAGCAUCAAAAUUUCCCAAAUGUACCCUCUUGGGUACAAAUGAGUAGGUUCUCUUUGGGUACAAAUAAAUAUGUUUUCCAAGCAAAAAAUUAAUUAUAUAUUGUUGGCAAGGGGUAUAUUAUUAUGUACAUAUACGGUACCACCGCAACGACAAGGAUUUGUACAUUAUUUCUGAGAGUGUGGUUAUCUUGGUAUGUGUGUGUAUGUGUGGUAUGUGUAUGUAUAUGUAUGUGUAUGUGUAUGUGUAUGUAUAUGUAUAUGUAUGUGUAUGUAAAUAUGUAUGUACAGUAUAUGUAUGUAUAUGUGUAUGUAUGUAUGUAUGCAUGAAUGUAUGUUUGCAUGUGUGUAUGUGUAUGUAUGUCUGUAUGUAUAUAUAAAUAUAUGAGUAUAUUCAAAUAGGUGUGUAUAUGUAGGUAUAAAGAAAUUAUAUAUAGCUAUCAUAAUAUAUAGUAAGUAUACAGCGCAUUUGGAAUUGAUUAUUGAAAUUAUGAUUAAUGAAAUAAGGGGGUAGGAGUAAAUAAGUCUUUACUUCUUCCUACUCCUUUUUGCACACAGGGGAUGAGAAAUUAUCGCACUUUUAUUUAUUUUGUUUUUUUUAUUUUUUAUUAUAUA